RNAcentral lists this ribosomal RNA (420 nucleotides) under uncultured bacterium. RNAcentral's name for it is "bacterial SSU rRNA". It matches the Rfam family "Bacterial small subunit ribosomal RNA", at positions 355 to 774 of the family's 1533-position model. The record is from RNAcentral.
UCAGGAAUAUUGCUCAAUGGGAGAAAUCCUGAAGCAGCAACGCCGCGUGGAGGAUGAAGGGUCUAUGACUUGUAAACUCCUGUAAAGAAGGAAAAAAUUCCCAUUUGAUGGGAGAUGAUGGUACUUCUGGAGUAAGCCCCGGCUAACUACGUGCCAGCAGCCGCGGUAAUACGUAGGGGGCAAGCGUUGUCCGGAUUUACUGGGUGUAAAGGGUGCUCAGGCGGAUUUGUAAGUCAGAGGUGAAAUCUUACAGCUUAACUGUGAAACUGCCUUUGAUACUGCAAGCCUAGAGUAUGGAAGAGAGUGAUGGAAUAUCUGGUGUAGCAGUGAAAUGCGUAGAUAUCAGAUAUAACACCAAUGGCGAAGGCAGUCACUUGGUCCAUUACUGACGCUAAAGCACGAAAGCGUGGGUAGCAAACA